GAUGAACGCUGGCGGCGUGCCUAAUACAUGCAAGUCGAGCGAACAGACGAGGAGCUUGCUCCUCUGACGUUAGCGGCGGACGGGUGAGUAACACGUGGAUAACCUACCUAUAAGACUGGGAUAACUUCGGGAAACCGGAGCUAAUACCGGAUAAUAUAUUGAACCGCAUGGUUCAAUAGUGAAAGACGGUUUUGCUGUCACUUAUAGAUGUAUCCGCGCUGCAUUAGCUAGUUGGUAAGGUAACGGCUUACCAAGGCCACGAUGCGUAGCCGACCUGUGAGGGUGAUCGGCCACACUGGAACUGAGACGCGGUCCAGACUCCGACGGGAGGCAGCAGUAGGGAAUCUUCCGCAAAGGGCGAAAUCUUGACGGAGCAACGCCGCGUGAGUGAUGAAGGUCUUCGGAUCGGAAAACUCUGUUAUUAGGGAAGAACAAAUGUGUAAGUAACUAUGCACGUCUUGACGGUACCUAAUCAGAAAGCCACGGCUAACUACGUG
Molecule: ribosomal RNA, 497 nt
Filed under: uncultured bacterium
Lineage: Bacteria
Description: partial 16S ribosomal RNA
Rfam family: Bacterial small subunit ribosomal RNA
Source: RNAcentral